CAAUAGCGUCUAUUAAAGUUGUUGCAGUUAAAAAGCUCGUAGUUGGAUCUGUGGUGUGCGGUGGGCUCCGGGCACUUGUUGUCUGAGUAGCUCGCCGCUGCCAUCCUUGGGUGGAACCUGUGUGGCAUUAGGUUGUCGUGCAGGGGAUGCCCAUCGUUUACUGUGAAAAAAUUAGAGUGUUCAAAGCAGGCUUAUGCCGUUGAAUAUAUUAGCAUGGAAUAAUGAGAUAGGACUUUUUCGCUAUUUUGUUGGUUUGCGCGAAGAGGUAAUGAUUAAUAGGGACAGUUGGGGGUAUUCGUAUUCCAUUGUCAGAGGUGAAAUUCUUGGAUUUUUGGAAGACGAACUACUGCGAAAGCAUUUACCAAGGAUGUUUUCAUUAA
Molecule: ribosomal RNA, 380 nt
Filed under: uncultured eukaryote
Lineage: Eukaryota
Description: partial 18S ribosomal RNA
Rfam family: Eukaryotic small subunit ribosomal RNA
Source: RNAcentral